GCUUAGAGUUUGAUCCUGGCUCAGGAUGAACGCUGGCGGCGUGCCUAACACAUGCAAGUCGAACGGAAUCUUCGGAUUUAGUGGCGGACGGGUGAGUAACGCGUGAGAAUCUGCCUUUAGGUUCGGGACAACAGUUGGAAACGACUGCUAAUACCGAAUGUGUCGCAAGAUGAAAGAUUAAUUGCCUAAAGAUGAGCUCGCGUCCGAUUAGCUAGUUGGUGUGGUAAAAGCGCACCAAGGCGACGAUCGGUAGCUGGUCUGAGAGGAUGAUCAGCCACACUGGGACUGAGACACGGCCCAGACUCCUACGGGAGGCAGCAGUGGGGAAUUUUCCGCAAUGGGCGAAAGCCUGACGGAGCAACGCCGCGUGAGGGAGGAAGGCUUUUGGGUUGUAAACCUCUUUUCUCAAGGAAGAUAAUGACGGUACUUGAGGAAUCAGCAUCGGCUAACUCCGUGCCAGCAGCCGCGGUAAUACGGAGGAUGCAAGCGUUAUCCGGAAUAAUUGGGCGUAAAGCGUUCGUAGGUGGUUUUACAAGUCUGCUGUUAAAGCGUGUAGCUCAACUACAUAAUGGCGGUGGAAACUGUAGAACUAGAGUACGUUCGGGGCAGAGGGAAUUCCUAGUGUAGCGGUGAAAUGCGUAGAGAUUAGGAAGAACACCGGUGGCGAAAGCGCUCUGCUAGGCCGUAACUGACACUGAGGGACGAAAGCUAGGGGAGCGAAUGGGAUUAGAUACCCCAGUAGUC
Molecule: ribosomal RNA, 744 nt
Filed under: uncultured cyanobacterium
Lineage: Bacteria; Bacillati; Cyanobacteriota
Description: bacterial SSU rRNA
Rfam family: Bacterial small subunit ribosomal RNA
Source: RNAcentral